RNAcentral lists this transfer RNA (71 nucleotides) under Ovis aries (sheep). It matches the Rfam family "tRNA". From Rfam's summary of the family: Transfer RNA (tRNA) molecules are approximately 80 nucleotides in length. Their secondary structure includes four short double-helical elements and three loops (D, anti-codon, and T loops). Further hydrogen bonds mediate the characteristic L-shaped molecular structure. tRNAs have two regions of fundamental functional importance: the anti-codon, which is responsible for specific mRNA codon recognition, and the 3' end, to which the tRNAs corresponding amino acid is attached (by aminoacyl-tRNA synthetases). tRNAs cope with the degeneracy of the genetic code in two manners: having more than one tRNA (with a specific anti-codon) for a particular amino acid; and 'wobble' base-pairing, i.e. permitting non-standard base-pairing at the 3rd anti-codon position. Lineage: Eukaryota; Metazoa; Chordata; Mammalia; Artiodactyla; Bovidae. The record is from Rfam by way of RNAcentral.
UCCUAGAUGGCUCAGUGGUAAAGAAUCUGCCUGCCAAGCAGGAGACAUGGGUUUGAUCCCUGGGUUGGGAA